RNA transcript from Sapajus apella (tufted capuchin), 885 nucleotides. It is a transcript of the gene named cyclin-dependent kinase 2-associated protein 2 pseudogene, with no coding region annotated. The record is from RefSeq and is a predicted model, not a curated record. The transcript has a single exon. NCBI's taxonomy places the organism in Eukaryota, Metazoa, Chordata, Mammalia, Primates, Cebidae.
UGAGGAGCGGCCGGCUGGCGUCCGCUGCGCCCAGGAGCUGGGGAUGUCCUACAAACCCAUCGCCCCCGCCCCCAGCAGCACCCCUGGCUCCAGCACCCAUGGGCCGGGCACCCCGGUCCCUACAGGAAGCGUGCCGUCGCCGUCGGGCUCAGUGCCAGGAGCCGCCACCCCUUUCAGACCGCUGUUGACUUUGGACCGCCUUCCAUGGGCUAUGUGCAGGCGAUGAAGCCACCCGGCACCCAGGGCUCCCAGAGCACCUACACGGACCUGCUGUCGGUCAUAGAGGAGAUGGGCAAAGAGAUCCAGCCCACCUAUGCCGGCAGCAAGAGUGCCAUGGAGCGCCUGAAGAGAGGUAUCAUCCAUGCCUGGGCCCUAGUCAGACAGUGCCUGGCAGAGACAGAGCGGAACGCCUGCACGCAACAGGAAGCCUCUCAGCCUCAGCGUCCGGAACUUUCCCGGGCACUGCAGAGCACCCGCUUCUCCCUGGCCAUCAUCCCGAGUUGCACUAGCCAUCCUGGGCUUCCUGUCCUGUGUCCCUUGGUGGGUGCCCUCCAGGAACCAAAGGGCGGCUCUCACUCCAGGUGGCAGCACUAAGAACUCCCUCCCCCUCCCCCCCAACAAGAGUUAGCAGCGAGGUCCCUGUGAGUCGGGCCCAUGACCUGCCGACAGUGUUGCCCACCGGAACUUUCUGUGGCCCCCACUGCUCAGCCCCUCCCAGCACUUCUCACACUUUGUCCCGAGCCUCCCUCUCUCCCAGCAGGGACUCAGGUCUGGCACCUGCUUGCCUUGUGUCCUGGGCCAUAGUGACUCUUUUCUCUGUGUGUCUUUUGCUAAAUAUCCACUUUUUAUAUUAAUAAAAGAUGAUUUGGAAAAAAAAAAAAAAAA